Macaca mulatta (Rhesus monkey) is the source of this 405-nucleotide long non-coding RNA. RefSeq lists it as uncharacterized. The record is from RefSeq and is a predicted model, not a curated record. Lineage: Eukaryota; Metazoa; Chordata; Mammalia; Primates; Cercopithecidae.
AGCGGUAUGUGGUAGAUGGAGACUGUGAUGCUGGGCGGCAGCAGCCAGACGCAGCUUUUAGCCAGCCACAAGACCGCGAGGGUAAACCACCCAAACUCUACUGCGUUCUGUGUGGAUGCCCAAGUACUUAUUCUUGAGCCUCACCAGAAGAAAAAUUGAUUGCCCUGUCACCAUGGCAUCCCUGUCAUCCAGCAAUUUUAGAUGUUUCAAACAUUCUUCAGCCCAGUGUCUUUCAGUUGUGUACGUUAAUGUUCCAGAGGUCAUCCAACAAGACGCCCAAGGCUAAAACGGAUUCAUCUGACAGAGCCACAUACAUAGCACUGCUGAGCAGCUCAAGCCCUGGUCUUGUCUUUCCUUGGUUCCCAGUGUGAACUGCAAGUAGCAAUAAAAAUUUAACUCUGCUGA